ACUUCAUUACUGAGGCACACUAGCAGGAUCCAAAGCAGCAAUGACUUCUCCACUGCUCCCCAUCUUUCUCUUUCUCAUAUUAUACAGUCAAGACUCCAGUUGUGAGAUUACGGUAAUUCAGACUCCAACGGCAAAAUCAGUCUCUGUAGGAGACAAUGUGGCCUUUACAUGUACAACCAGCACUGAUGUGAGUAGUAAUGUAGCCUGGUACCAUCAGAGACCUGGAGAAGCUCCUAAGCUCUUGAUCUAUGCAGCAGAACACCUUGAAGAUGACAUCCCAAGUCGCUUCAGUGGCAGCGGAUCAGAGACUGAAUACACAAUGACUAUCACUGGAGUCCAGGCUGAGGAUGCAGGACAUUACUACUGUCAACAGUACGAAGAGUUUCCUCUCACACAGCGACAGAGACUCGUACAAAAACCUCUCUUAACAUCUGAACAGCCUGCAGGUGCUUUACAAAGGCACCAGAGUGAUACUCAUUUAAAACUUUGCUUCUAUAUGAUAUUAGUGUUAGCUAUAAGGCUAUUUACUCAACUUGAACAGUUUGACUUUUCAUUUUUAUAGUGGGAUUAUGCUUCUAUAAACCUGAUUCCAAAAGCUGCAUCUUAAAGUAUUACAUAAUU
Non-coding RNA from Erpetoichthys calabaricus (reedfish), 621 nucleotides. Lineage: Eukaryota; Metazoa; Chordata; Cladistia; Polypteriformes; Polypteridae. The record is from the annotation of a RefSeq genome assembly.